AGUGUGGGUUAGAGGGAAUUACUCUGCAGCACCUGGAAAGCCAGCUCACAGGUGGGCUGCUGGGGUGACUUGGCCGGGCCUGCUUGUAAACACUGGCUAUCAACUCCUUUACAAGCCUUAACUGACUAGCAGAGAGAUUUUGGCUUUCAUUCCAGAAUGAUGUUGCACAGAAAAGUCAACUCUUGUUCCAGGGCACGAGUAAAGAUAUCAACUCAUCUAUCUGUAGAAAAUUGCCAGAAACUGUCACAAAAUAAAAAAUGAGAGAAGGCCUGAAUUACAACAGUCCUGUUGGGGUUCUACAAGAUCCCGGCCUUUCUUCGAAGUGCUUGGAAGACCUUGGCAGAUUCAGCCAGUGUUUUGAUCACUGCCAGAGCCUGCAGCUUUGUUGCUAAUUGUUUGCUGAAAGAAUUGAGCAAAAGGACAACUGGUCCCAAGGCAAGAGUGAGGAGGCUGUCUCUUCACUAGAACUAAAGAACCAAAACUGUUCAGAAAGAGAGAAGAGCCCAGCACCUUAUACUCAGGAGAUACUGAAAAACGUCAUGUAAAGUGUUUACUGUUGCGAGAAAAGUACACGUCAGAGGAUGCCCAUUAUUGAUAUAGAGCCUUCUGUGUACCCUGGAUGAGCAUGACCAGGAUGUCACCCUCAGUUGGCUGCAGCUGUUUUCAGAAUCUGUGGGAUCAUACCCCAGAGGCAGUUGAGUCAGCCGCAGGCAUCAGGUGAGGAGGAAGAAGAGUGAGACAGCUAUUACAGGCUGCCGGGGCAGGUGGCUGUGAAGAGGUGUGGGGCCACCAAGGCUUAUAUAAGGAGGAUGGAGAACACAGGCCAAAGGGGAGGCUGUCAUGCUGACUUCGAUUGGCUAACUUAAUAUGAGGCAGACUGAGGGAGGAGGAAGAGGGCAGGAGAGAACAUGCUUUAGAAAGCAUGACGGUGUCUCAUCUGUUUGCAAGCGAACACGUAGGUGCCUUCCAAAUAGGAUCCUGAAGAAUGUGCAGAUAAAUGAAAAAUCUGAUAUACAAUAAACCACAUACCUCUUUAUGUCUAUAUAUGAACUUAUUUAAGAAGGCUGACUUUAGUAGAAUAUGAUGCAUAUCCUAAUUAUAUCAAUAUUGGAUGCAUUGUUAGUACCAUUUCUCAACUUCAUUUUAAAAAUCACUUUAAGAAAAUACAAAAAAUAAUUCUGAAGAUUUUAACCUUAGGUGCCCAUAGAUCAUUUUCUUGGGAAACUGCAGCUUUUAGAAAUGCUGGACAUACUUUACCCAAAGCAUUGUAACUGGUCUCCCACAAGCCUAGGAUAAAAGUUUUCCACAGAAACGCUACUACAGAAAAAUGCCACAUCCCACGGAUUAAACACUGAAACCAGCUAAUCACAACACAUGAGAGCAAAUGUAGCAUGUUUGGAGAAGUACAAAUAAUGUUGAAACAUGUCUGUCAUGAAAUCUGAUCUUAACAAUCCUCUGAAGACUAGCUUUUUUGCAAAGAGAACUUAUCACUAACAUACCUCACAGAGGAGGCCUCAGUUUCUAAUAGAGUUAAUUUUAUCUCUUUUGAUGAUGGAAACAAAAGACAGCCUGGAAACAUCCUCUUAAUUCUAAGCACCACCCACCCUUUCUCAGUGGGGAGAGGUAAGCUUUCAGUAAUUCCCAGUGUGUCUUAUAUUGAAUAUAUAGAAGAUGGUAAAGCAGGGCCAGGUAAUUCCAACACUUAAACUGCUACUUAACCAUUCAUAUAUUAAAGGAGUUUACAUGGAUUGUCAGCUAUGAAAGAGGUUUCUCAGUCUAUAUCCCACUCCACAGUCAACGCUCCUCACAGGUGCACUUGGCCGUGGGGCACUUGUAAUCUCAGAAGCCGAUACAGCUGCCAAGUUCAAGUUGCCAUGACUCUGAACAUAGUAUAACAUUCCCAUUCCAAGCCAGAGCCCGUCACUUUUGUGGCUGUUCAGAUGAGGGCCCUUCUUGGUACCACUCUGACUCACAUACACUGGCUGCAUUCAUGUAGCAGGUGAAGGACUUAAGUGUCACUAAGUUGGUUUCCAGUUGCUUCCAGGAAAAAAAAAAAAAAAAACCGGCAUAUAAGAUUCUUGCUCCUGAUACCUGGCCCUCUCCCAUGGCUGCCGAGAGAAGAUCCGGCCAUUGCUGUCUUGGCUUCAAGUGCUGCCUCCCACACACAUAUUGAGGGGCUCUGCAACAAACAGAAACCUAGGGACAUUGACAUUUUGGGGGCAGGGUGUAGAAAAAAACACUGCAUGCGUAUCUGAAAACUCUGCCAAGCACGUCAGCCCUGCCAUGCCACUUCCUAGCUCUUCUAACUUCAGAACAUUCUGUGUUAGGAGUUGCUAAUCAGUCCAAUAUCAUAUGUAGUUUAACGAUGUUGAAACACAUCUGCCAGAAAGAAGGCCAAAAGGAAGGGCUCCUCUACUGCUCUCUUCUGCCAAAGAUCUGAUCACUCGUGACUGCAGCCCCUCACUUUGCCCCUGGGUGUUUUCUCCCUGUGUUGUUCUUGGGCGUGUUUAAUUUGGAUUGAGCAUCCAUGGAGCUGUGUAAACACUGAGGUCCCAUUAAUAUUACAAUAUUAAACAGUAGUGCUAAUUACCAAUAGACCCCUCAAAAAGCAAUCAAAUAACAAACUCACCUUACCUUGACCUUUGUAUCUCUGGCAACCAAAAGCUCAAAAUGCAGUUCUGUCAUUUUUGCACAGUCAUUUACCUUGACACCCUCCGUCUGCCGUGGAAUCCAAUCUCCAUGUAUAAAAAUAAACCUAGAAACUUUCUGUUCACA
Long non-coding RNA from Macaca mulatta (Rhesus monkey), 2775 nucleotides. Lineage: Eukaryota; Metazoa; Chordata; Mammalia; Primates; Cercopithecidae. The record is from Ensembl.